CGUGUAGGCGGUCUUUUAAGUCUGAUGUGAAAGCCCCGGGCUCAACCUGGGAAGUGCAUUGGAAACUGGGAGACUUGAGUACGGGAGAGGAGAGUGGAAUUCCUAGUGUAGGAGUGAAAUCCGUAGAUAUUAGGAGGAACACCGGUGGCGAAGGCGGCUCUCUGGACCGAUACUGACGCUGAGACGCGAAAGCGUGGGUAGCAAACA
This 207-nucleotide ribosomal RNA is filed under the name uncultured bacterium. RNAcentral's name for it is "partial 16S ribosomal RNA". It matches the Rfam family "Bacterial small subunit ribosomal RNA", at positions 568 to 774 of the family's 1533-position model. The record is from RNAcentral.